Molecule: non-coding RNA, 81 nt
Organism: Daldinia bambusicola
Lineage: Eukaryota; Fungi; Ascomycota; Sordariomycetes; Xylariales; Hypoxylaceae
Source: the annotation of a GenBank genome assembly
UCUCGAUUGGUCUAGUGGUCAGGAUACCUGCUUGUCAUGCACAAGCGCGCAGGUGGCCGGGGUUCGAUUCCCCGAUGAGAG